AGAAGACUGACCCCUCCGCUUGUCUCUUUUGUAAUCUAACAAUUCCAUCUCUCGAACUCCAGAGACAUGCUAAUAAUUACUUAGACGAUGAAGAGUACGCCUGAGACUUCGAAUUUGCGUGUCAAAUCUCUCUUGCUCCCCCAUUUAAAACAAGAGCUUUGGAAAAAUCAUUUAAAGAGAAUGUUGGAUGGCAAAAGCUAAUAAAAAGAGGUGUCCAUACACUAAAGAAAGACCAAUAUCAGGUUGUAAUCCAUUAUGUAAACCUUGAUUUUUCUCGUUCUGUUUGAAUAAGUAUGUUUCUGUUUCAGUUGUGUUUCAUUGAUCCUGGAAUUGCAAGUGGGGAGGAGCUGGAGAAGCUAAAGACCUUGGACAGCAGAUGGAUGCUUUGCGGGGAUCCUCGUACAUGAUCAUAAGAAAAAGCAUGAUAUGGUCUUAAGCUUUGGAGCAUGAAAAGUCUCGAGUAAACUCCCUCAGAUUCUGCUGUUUGGGUUGCAUCCACCUGCUGGUUUUCACUUUUUGUUUGUUUAUCCACUAAGUUUGCCCACCCGGACCUCAGACCCAUGAGGCCAGGCUGGGCCUAAGCUGAGCUUUUGCCGUGACUGACAGGUUGGACGGGUCGACAAUGUUGGCACCUCUAUUUAGACUGAGUCAUCAGAGAGACCCAUUUACAGUUGGCUAUCAUGAUGGUUGUUACUAACUUACAAUCACUAUGGACAGGAAAGGCAUUGGACUGUAAGUGCCUUGUUGCAUUAUGGUCUUAUGUUGGUUGACCAACCCUUGUUUUCCUUUGAACUGGGCAUGCUGCUUUUUUCAAUGUAUUAUCCUCUUAUUUUUAUUGGUUAUAGGCAUCAAAUUUUCAACUCAUAACUGUGAAUUUUUAAUAUGUUUUUGAUAGCGUGCUUGAUUUCUUGAGAAAAUUUCGCGCUUGUGGAAGUAGAUAAUUUCUUGUUGAGACAAGUGAAG
Molecule: long non-coding RNA, 963 nt
Organism: Olea europaea var. sylvestris
Lineage: Eukaryota; Viridiplantae; Streptophyta; Magnoliopsida; Lamiales; Oleaceae
Exons: 4
Source: RefSeq, a predicted model, not a curated record